UCCGUCGGUAAAUAUUGAGAUAACACUAAUCUUAUCUCUAUCCACUCGAUCCAUUUACACUCCACCCAUAUCAAAUGAGCUUGUUCCUCUCUCCGUCACCGAGUUGCUUCUUCUCUCCGUCGCACCAAUUUCUUCUGCCGCUGGCGUCACAGAUCUCUCUCCGUCGUCCCUUGCGUCGUACGGGCUCCCUCCGCCGCCGCAUCCAACCCUAACCCCAGAGCUUCGUCAUGCCUCCAACCCUAAUCCCAGAACUUCGUCGUGCUUCCAACCCCUGCUUCGCCGCUCUCUCCAUCGACGCUCCCUCCGUCUCAAAGCCUCCGUCGUGCUCACUCUGUCGUAAGCCUUCAAACGUCGCUCCUUCCUCCAUGGCUGAAACCCGUAACGCUCUGCUUUUUCUCCUGUGUCGUGGCUUCACCUUCCUCCAAACAAAAUUGAAAAACCCUAACCUGGAGGCCUUCCACUGCAAACCUACCGAUCCCUAAUUCCGUCUCAUCAUCAGAGAUUGAAAAUGAGUAGGCGUGGGAGCAGAAUAGUCUACGUUGGGAACCUCCCUGGUGAUAUUCGUGAAAGAGAAGUAGAAGAUUUGUUUUCAAAGGUUGUUUAAAUUUGAGCUCUUGUGGUUUUAGGAAUGUUAAAAGCUUUGAUGCAAAAUUUAGCAUAUAAAGUUGUUAAAUUGCUUGCUGCAGAAAAUUCAGCAGAUUGGCGCCAACUUGUUUGAAAUUUUGGGAAAAAUAUGUACGGUAAUUUUUAAUGAAAUUAGUUGAAUAACGAAUCUGAUGAUGAUUUGCAGAACUGCAUCACACUAACAAAGGAGAAUGUUAAAGGCAUAAUCAUGGUAACUUUUACUUUCUA
Long non-coding RNA from Arachis ipaensis, 852 nucleotides. RefSeq lists it as uncharacterized. The record is from RefSeq and is a predicted model, not a curated record. Lineage: Eukaryota; Viridiplantae; Streptophyta; Magnoliopsida; Fabales; Fabaceae.